RNAcentral lists this ribosomal RNA (676 nucleotides) under uncultured bacterium. Its description in RNAcentral is "bacterial SSU rRNA". It matches the Rfam family "Bacterial small subunit ribosomal RNA", at positions 1 to 634 of the family's 1533-position model. The record is from RNAcentral.
GCCGGUACUCGCGAAUGCUCUAGAUUAGAGUUUGAUCAUGGCUCAGGACGAACGCUGGCGGCGUGCCUAAUACAUGCAAGUCGAGCGAACAGAGAAGGAGCUUGCUCCUUUGACGUUAGCGGCGGACGGGUGAGUAACACGUGGGCAACCUACCUUAUAGUUUGGGAUAACUCCGGGAAACCGGGGCUAAUACCGAAUAAUCUAUUUUACUUCAUGGUGAAAUACUGAAAGACGGUUUCGGCUGUCGCUAUAAGAUGGGCCCGCGGCGCAUUAGCUAGUUGGUGAGGUAACGGCUCACCAAGGCGACGAUGCGUAGCCGACCUGAGAGGGUGAUCGGCCACACUGGGACUGAGACACGGCCCAGACUCCUACGGGAGGCAGCAGUAGGGAAUCUUCCACAAUGGGCGAAAGCCUGAUGGAGCAACGCCGCGUGAGUGAAGAAGGUUUUCGGAUCGUAAAACUCUGUUGUAAGGGAAGAACAAGUACAGUAGUAACUGGCUGUACCUUGACGGUACCUUAUUAGAAAGCCACGGCUAACUACGUGCCAGCAGCCGCGGUAAUACGUAGGUGGCAAGCGUUGUCCGGAAUUAUUGGGCGUAAAGCGCGCGCAAGCGGUCCUUUAAGUCUGAUGGUGAAAAGCCCACGGUUCAACCGUUGGGAGGGUCCUUGGGAAACU